Molecule: long non-coding RNA, 847 nt
Organism: Chenopodium quinoa (quinoa)
Lineage: Eukaryota; Viridiplantae; Streptophyta; Magnoliopsida; Caryophyllales; Amaranthaceae
Exons: 3
Source: RefSeq, a predicted model, not a curated record
CUAGAGUAAUGGCAUUUUGGUAAAUCUAUCCGAUACUAUCCAGAGUUCUUUUUUUUUUUUUUUUUUUUUUUUUUGCUUUCUCUCUUAUCUGUAUACUAUGAAUUCUCUCUCUAGCGAUUAUUUUUCCUUCGAUCUUCGCUCCGUAUUCUUUGAUUUGUGUUGAUGCAGUGCUUGGGAAGGCACGACUAGAGCUUAUGGACUGAUAUUCAAGGAUUCAGUCAGAAUUGUGCAAAGAGCAUUUCUAAGACCAAGGGUCAAGAAUGAGUUAUUUACAGGCUGCCUUGGGCGUUGUGCAAAUGGUGUGGCUAUAUAUGCUCAAGGAGCACGGGGCAAAGGGUGUGGUGCUGUGUGUCGGUUGUUGUUGUACUGUUUGGGUGGGCGAAGGAGCUUGGUGGGUGAUGUGUAUUCAAUGCUAGAAACAAAUGGAAAGAGGCUAGCUUUCAGAUUUUGGACUUCACUGUAAUGUGUACACUGUACUUACAAUAAUAAAAUGGGGCAUAGAUUUUUUUUUUUAUUUACUUUUGAGUAAUUUUUUAUUACUAUACAUUAGCCUACUAGUUCGAAAGGUAAAGCAUUGUGCAAUUGCACAAAAGAUGUGGCUUAGAAUCCCACGUAGGUUUAUAUGUGUAAUUCAGAGACUAAGCUUUAUAGUUAAGUUUAGUUAUGUGAUUAAUUAGAUUUCUAUUGUUUUUGUUUACUUUUGAUAUUAUUUUAUUUGUUUAUAACUUGAAAUCCUUUACAUUGAACUCUAUAUUUUUUUCUUAUAACUUUUACUCACUUUGUUAGGAUAUAAAAGUCAAUUACUCAGAGAUUUUUUGUGCUACAAUAAAGUUUGCAUAUUGAUUAG